RNAcentral lists this ribosomal RNA (234 nucleotides) under Triticum aestivum (bread wheat). Its description in RNAcentral is "partial small subunit ribosomal RNA". The record is from RNAcentral. Lineage: Eukaryota; Viridiplantae; Streptophyta; Magnoliopsida; Poales; Poaceae.
AUGUUUGCUCCCAAGCUUGAGAAGAUCAGGAUAUGGGGUUCUUGGGGCCUUAGGCGCCUCCCGGCUGUGGGCCUCCACCAUGGAAUCAAUCUUCCCAUUGUGGACUAUGAGAAGGACUUGUGGGACAGGCUAGAGUGGAACGGUCUGGAGGCCGGGCACCACCCGUCACUCUUUGAGACACAUCACUCAUGGUAUUACAAGAAGGCAUUGCCUCGAGUCUCGGUCCUCUGUUGA